This 148-nucleotide ribosomal RNA is filed under the name Lactarius atlanticus. RNAcentral's name for it is "5.8S ribosomal RNA". The stretch from base 1 to 108 matches the Rfam family "5.8S ribosomal RNA", at positions 47 to 154 of the family's 154-position model. From Rfam's summary of the family: 5.8S ribosomal RNA (5.8S rRNA) is a component of the large subunit of the eukaryotic ribosome. It is transcribed by RNA polymerase I as part of the 45S precursor that also contains 18S and 28S rRNA. Functionally, it is thought that 5.8S rRNA may be involved in ribosome translocation. Lineage: Eukaryota; Fungi; Basidiomycota; Agaricomycetes; Russulales; Russulaceae. The record is from RNAcentral.
AGCGAAAUGCGAUACGUAAUGUGAAUUGCAGAAUUCAGUGAAUCAUCGAAUCUUUGAACGCACCUUGCGCCCCUUGGUAUUCCGAGGGGCACACCCGUUUGAGUGUCGUGAAAACCUCAACCUCCUUGGUUUCUUCUGGAGAUCAAAG